AUUGAACGCUGGCGGCAUGCUUUACACAUGCAAGUCGAACGGUAACAGGUUAAGCUGACGAGUGGCGAACGGGUGAGUAAUGCAUCGGAACGUGCCCGGUCGUGGGGGAUAACGCAGCGAAAGCUGCGCUAAUACCGCAUACGAUCUGAGGAUGAGAGCGGGGGACCGUAAGGCCUCGCGCGAUCGGAGCGGCCGAUGUCAGAUUAGGGAGUUGGUGGGGUAAAGGCUCACCAAGCCAACGAUCUGUAGCUGGUCUGAGAGGACGACCAGCCACCCUGGGACUGAGACACGGCCCAGACUCCUACGGGAGGCAGCAGUGGGGAAUUUUGGACAAUGGGCGAAAGCCUGAUCCAGCAAUGCCGCGUGCAGGAAGAAGGCCUUCGGGUUGUAAACUGCUUUUGUACGGAGCGAAAAGGUCUCCUCUAAUACAGGGGGCUCAUGACGGUACCGUAAGAAUAAGCACCGGCUAACUACGUGCCAGCCGCCGCCGUAA
RNAcentral lists this ribosomal RNA (493 nucleotides) under uncultured bacterium. RNAcentral's name for it is "partial 16S ribosomal RNA". It matches the Rfam family "Bacterial small subunit ribosomal RNA", at positions 29 to 523 of the family's 1533-position model. The record is from RNAcentral.